Molecule: long non-coding RNA, 627 nt
Filed under: Ixodes scapularis (black-legged tick)
Lineage: Eukaryota; Metazoa; Arthropoda; Arachnida; Ixodida; Ixodidae
Description: uncharacterized LOC121837711
Source: RNAcentral
GCUGGGGGAUAUGGGCUAUGCCUGUCUCCCUUUCCUGAUGACGCCGCUCGCAAACCCUGGAGCGGCAAAUAGUCCCGGAGGGAGGUACAACAAGGCCCAGAUCCGAACGAGGAACUCCGUCGAGAGGGCCUUUGGGGUCUGGAAGAGACGAUUUCCCUGUUUGGAUAUGCGGCUCCAGCACAAGACUCGCCACUCAUGCAGCAUCAUCACCGCGUGUGCGGCUUUGCAUAAUCUGGGACGUGCAAGAAAUGAGCCCCUACCUCCUCCUCCACCCCCGCCACCAAGUCCCAGGGCACGGAAUGCCAGAAGGCGGCGGCAGCCACACCUGCCACCGAUUCUCCCGGAGGACUCUCCUUCGGGUCUGCGUAUCCGGCAGAACAUCAUUCUGCUGAGCUUUACGUGAGCUGCACGUAGGCUCAAGAGGCCCAUCACACAGGCCAUGAAGCGCAGCUCUCUUGCUGAGUGCGUCGCGGUGGUCCUGUUCAAGGAAGUUGCAGCGCAGGGCAUGCUCCUGCUGGACAAAGGCCAUCCUCAUAUCGUUUUCCUCUGCGAGGCUCCUUUCCAGCAGCGCCAUACGUCCUCCGACCUGGCGGGCACCACUGCCCACAGCUGCUGCCGCACUACCAC